Molecule: long non-coding RNA, 9447 nt
Filed under: Eucalyptus grandis
Lineage: Eukaryota; Viridiplantae; Streptophyta; Magnoliopsida; Myrtales; Myrtaceae
Description: long non-coding RNA (EGRA_LNC006297)
Source: RNAcentral
UCCCAUGUUAGAGCUCGAGAAAAGGGACUGCAAGCUCUCGAGGAAGCUCUCGACGCCAUGAUAGAUCUUGUGCUUGGACCUGAUCCUGCCUUGCCUCAGGUGACCCUCCAUUUCCCGAGCGAAGUCCCCUAACCUCGCCAGGUGCGAUGGGGAGCCCACCAUGAAUCCUUCCAUCCUCACCCCCUUCCCCACCAUGUUCAGCAGGUUCCUGACCCCUUCCCUCUCUGUCCACACCUGCUUGCAUUGGGUUCAAACAAAAGCUGAUUAACAAGGAUUUUAGAUAAACGAUCGAUCAUGAAUUGUUGAUGAGUUAAUUAAAUGGUGUUUGGGUUUCAAGAAAUCUCUUCUGGAGAGAGAAAAAGGCUCCGCAGAUGAUUGGACCGACACAGUUCUUUCCCACUCAACAGACAGAGCUGAACCUAACCCCAUCAUGGACAGUUAAACCAUUGCUAUUAUCAUGUCGGUCAGCUGCUUUACUGGUUCCUCUCUCACGUUCUAGCUUCAGCAAAGAAUCACCGGAAGUCUUGAGUGUAUUCCGGUCGCUGGAAUCAAGUUAUCCAUGUUUUGAAAGCAGAGAUGUGUCGAGACAGCUCGUCAAUCGGCUCGCUUACAUCAAAUUUAAACACGGAUGCGUGGUUAUAAUCUUGUAGAUGCUGAAUCCUUCUUAGGAGCGAAACGCUGUUGUAUAACAAGACCUAGCGAUUGGAAUAUACCUUGUUGUACUCGGAAAUCAUGCCGCAGAGCGAGAUCCGGGCACCUUCAUUGACGUGGUUCAACACAGCUUCAAGCAUCUUACCGCCAACGUUGUCAAGGUACAUGUCUAUGCCGUCGGGGAAGUAUCUGCCACAUUUGAAAUUCGAGUAAUUAGCAUACACAUGUACAAUUGUACUGAUGAAAAAUGAGAUUAAUGAGCGAGAACAGGGUUUUAUUUUCAAUUACUUGCUUAAAGCAGCGUCAAGAUCGGUUUCUUUCUUGUAAUUGAAUGCUUCAUCGUAACCAAAUUCCUCCUUCACCAGGAUUACCUAUAAAAAUUACAUUAUUAAUAAGGAUAAUAAAGAUAUACUAUACCACCAGCCGACUAAUUUUAGUUAUGCUUUGGUGCCUUGGAAAUUAAAAAUAGAAGACAUUUAGCUAGCCAGCUCACCUACAAUAUUCAAUUUUUUUUUAAUUUAUCAACAUUACGUGUCAUAAUUAACAAGUCCUUACAUUUAGCAACUCUCUUUUAGAUAUUAUUAACCUAAACUAAUGUGACUUUCUAACUUUCCCACCCAUUUAAUUACGCAUAAUAUUAGACCACUAACUAUUACUUGAGUUAUUACUUAACUGUGCCUCAAAUUUAUCAAUUCGUAAACGAAAUUACUAACUUUAAUUCAAGUGAUUUAUUGACUUUUCUCCGAUUAAAUUAUUGACUAGUUUUGAGUUAUCAAUCCUCAUUUGAGUUAGUUGGCAACAUUUAUUUAUUUCUUUUUUAAUUUACCGAUAUUUGUAAAUAUUUGAUAUUUUAAUAAGGAAAAAAGUUGAUAAUUCAUUCAAAUAAAGAUCGAGAAAUUCAUGUAAGAGUUGGCAUAAUGGACUCUCAUAGGUAAAAGUAUAAAAGCAUGAACUCCUAUCAAUUGGUGAAAAUAUAGGUAAAUCACCAACAAGUUACUUGAAAAUCAAGUAGUUGGUAAAAUUUUUCUACCACCGAGUUUUUCUAUAUUUCACCAACUCUUUUGGAAAUCUAUAGACUCUUAAAGCUCUAGGCAAAGGGUGUCGCCUAGAGUCGACGAGGGCCAUGAUGCCCUUGCCCAAAGUUGGCACGGUCUAGAUCUAAAGGCUAAAAAAAAAAGGAGAAGGAGAAGAAGAAAUCAUACAAAAUUCAAAAUAUUAUUAAAAAAGUGUCACAUCAGCACCGGCCAUCCACGUCAGUAAUUUUCAAUUAAAAUUGGUCGAAUGGACUCAAUUAGUAAAAAGUGAAAAUAUUUAAAACUGAAUUGAUAAAAGUAUGAUAGAUUUAGGACUUUUUGGACAAUUUUCCCGUUUUCAUUACAUAAAGCACAUGAAUCGUGCAGCUAAUUUAGUUCUUAUACUAGCAUUAAUAGGAGUUACAAGCAAACAUUACCUUUUCAUCAGAUCCGGUGCUCCCCACGACCCUACACCCUCUGAGCUUGGCCAGCUGCCCCGCGUACAUCCCCACGCCGCCUGCCGCGGCAGAGAUGAACACAUUCGACCCCGCCUUCGGCUCUCCCAGCACCUCUAUCCCCACCCACGCCGCGAAUCCAGGCACUCCUGUGAAAAUAUGAAAGAGUUUUCCAUCAUGUAAUUAUCCUCCUAUCCUCUUGUUCAUCAUUGUGAACGAAACGUGAGAGCAUAUAAACCUAAGCAACUGAGAUAAUCCGGCAACGGAAUGUCUCCAUUAGGCUCGAUCUUUUUUAUAAUGAAGUCGGAAGGCACUACGCAGUACUCCGCGACCGGUAAGAACGGGCCGGUCACAAUCUCUCCCUUGGCAUACUUAUCGUCCGUCGACUCCACCACCCUUCCAAUCCCAAAACUGGUCACCACCUGCACUUCCCAAAGACACGAGCGCAUAUUUUCACAGAUGAUCUGGUUAUUCAACCUGCCCUUUGGUCAUUUUGUGCGUUUAACUCUAAUGAAUCAACUUAUAGAAGACCUGGUUGAGAUCGAGUUGCGGGGAGUACAGCCCGUCCUCGCGGCCGGUCAUCCGGGAGCGCACGAAGGGCUCGACGGAGAGGAAGAGCAUCUCGAGGGCGACAUGGCGGUCAGGGAUGGAGCCGGCGUCGACUGGGAUCGUUGACGAACGCAACUUCAGAUUAUCAGAAGUCGGGAUCCCUUCCGGUGCGUAGGCUACUAUGUGCCACUCUUUGCUUUCCAUGGUGGUCAUCUUCGCCGUGUUGAUUUCCUCCGAACCACCGCUCGGAUGGAGCUUUUCUCCUUCCUCUCGCUCUUACCAGGGAGCUGUCGCGUCAGGGUAGUUGGAAGUGAGACAAAGCUAGGCCCCCCCUACCUCUACCUCUCUCUCUCUCUCUCUCUCUCUCUCUCUCUAACGUGCACGCACUCUGUGUGGCUUGAAUUCGAUGGAGUAGUCGAUUACCAAACUCAUGAUGCAAACAGCACCACGAAGAGAAGAAAGUGGCAGUACUAGACAAGAACAGAUCAACUACUAUCAUGAUUAUUGUGGACCACUUGUUUCAGGAUCCAGGAACUUUUCUGUACCCUUGAUGAUUCAACCCCCGUGCAGCGACAGCUUACGGGACCGCACCCCAAUGCAAUCAUCAUGGACAUGAAAAACGCGAAGCUUAUCCCUCAUUUUUUGCCGUCCUUACUCAUUGGGAAUGUUAGAGAAUUCGAGAGCAAAAGACCGAUCAGUCGAAUUACGAGAAAUCCAUUGUAAGUGCAAAUGAAGAUGAGGUUCUCGGAAGAGACGUCAUUUGAAUGGGAGGGAAGUUAAUCCUCGAAGAAGCUCUUUUUCUUACGUUUGAACAAGAAAAGGUUAUUGUUCUUUUCUUACCCAUGGACGGUAAGCGCAUUUGACGCGCACGUCCAUGUCACCAUGUACCGGACUUGACCUAUACGAACUCAUGCGACAAAGGCGGAGUCUUCAACCCAUUCUGUCCUUUUCCUCCUUUACGGUGGAACCCAAAAUCAGACCCCGUGACGACCGAUAUAGACUCAGCUACAUGCAUGAUCAGACAUCAACCCCCCUUGAGACCAGCAAUUCCAUGGCAUGGACCCUACUUCAUUCUAGAUGAUGGAGAGUGUGUUGUUAUCUGCGAAUUACGCCAUUAUACACGGUCUCUUACUUCCCGGUGAAUUUGGCAUAAACAGGCGAUCAACGACUUGGAUAUAUGCAUUUUCUAUUUUCAAGAGCAAGGUGGAGCCGGGGACACGAUAAUGUACAAUGCUCUGUCACGCAAUAAAAGCAGAGGAGUAAGGUUCGAGCUUUCCUAACUCGUUUGCCUUUCCACACCUUGCUUAUGUUUCGAGAUCCAGAAUGGGAAAAACAUCCACCACAUAGAAUGCACACUCUAGCCCAAACAGUAGCACGAGUCGAGACUGACACUAAACACAGGAGUAAUUCCAGGGUUACAGUAACUAGCUUACCAAAAUCAGCUUUCUCAAGGGUAUGGCAAACGUCUAAUGCUAAUUUAUUUAAACAACUAAUUCAGAGUUUGCCUUGUCAUUUUAUGAAAUCCGUCUGUUCUAGUAUGCUUUCACUAUUCAAAUGCAUCUCAACCAAACCCCUACAUAUUUAGGAGGAGAGAGAAAGAGAGACAAAAUUAUCCAAGUCUUAUAGAUGCCAUUGACCAGAAUGUAAAAUUAAAGAGGCAUCAAGUAAAAGAGCUAGAUAUCAAGGAUAAGGGGAUGCAAAGAAUUUACAUUUGAAGCUGGCACUGCUUCCCAUACAUAUACAAUGCAAAGCUUUUCAUCAAAGGUUUUAACUAAGUCAUGCUUCAAAGGGAACCGAAAGUAUUCUCGCCGCUGUAGGUCAUGUAGAGAAAGCCAUCUUCAUCCUGUUUUCCUCAUAAAUUGCAGACAUCAUAGCAGCUGCAACAGCACAGAAACAUCGCAAAUCAGUAAAGUUAAUAGUCCAUGACUAACUGUAGGACCUAAUGAAAGACAUUUUCUCAAAGACGAAAAUAGCUUUAUCUGCACUUAGCUUGAUCCUCUUUCGAACGACAUACACAAACUGGCCAACACUAAGGUUAGCAAAAACUAGACACUUGCAUUUGUAGGGUAGAUUCUAGAUUCCAAAAAUUGGGAAACAUGUUUUGACAAAUAGGUUCUCGAUUCUAGAUAAAUGGAACGUGGAACCUGGAACCUGAAACUUGGAAACUGAAAUAAUUUUUUUAUGUUUUUUUUGUUUAUAUCUUUGCGCGAUCCUGCAAUAUUUCAUGGCAUCCAAUGAUGAACGUAUAAUCUGGAAUCACUAAUCCAAGCUUCCAUUUUAUCACUGAGACUUUUAAUUUCUUAAUAUUUCAUAUUAUUCGUGUGUCUAAAUAUAAGUUAUGAUUAGUGGAUUGUAGCAAUGGGUGAUGAUCAUUAAAGGUAAUGAUUUACUACAAAUUUUCAAUUAAUAAUACAAGUGGAACUUGGGUUCCAAGGAUUAUAUAGUAGAUUUUAGAUUCCAAAAAAUGAGGAAUCUGUUUCAACGGUUAUAAAAACCUAGAAUCGCUCACCCUUACCUCAGGGAGGCUACUGGCCAACCCAUGCCUCCCACUAGGCAAGGGCUGCAAUACCCUCCCCGCUUGUGGGCAAGGCCCAAUGGCCAAUGAGAGUCCUCAGUCCUGGUAGAAAAAAAGAAAAGAAAAUAAUAUUAUUAACAAAAUUCAAUUAAAAACUAUAAAAAAAAUUGUUUAUGUUAAUACUAGUCAUCCUACAUGAUAUUACCAGCAUCCACGUUAGCAAUUUCCAAUUAAAGUUGAUCAAUUGGGUUCAAUUGGCAAAAUAUGAAAUGGCUUGUGACUCAAUUGACAAAAUUAAAAGGUUUAAGACUUUUUGAACAAUUUUCCUAGUAAGAAACACACCAAGUAAUCACAUGUUUCACAAAAAUGAAGCAACAUUGAAUUAAACUAAAAGACACAAGAAAAGAUGGAGAAGCAUUAAUGACAAAGUUAUACGAAUAAACGGGGAAAUAAAGAUCAUUAUAUAGGGCAUUUCUUCCCCAAAUUUACCGCAACGGGUCAAUCGAUGAAAUGGGACGGGUAAGGUUCCGACAAAAAUGACUUUAUGAUUGAUAUCCAGUUAGUGACGCAUAUGCACUCAAUGACAAGUAUAUUUGAUAACGUGGCAUUAAAAGCACGAAAAUAUCAUGAAUAAUUUGUCGUUGUUCCUGACAUCUCCUAACAAUAAAGAAAAAUAUGUCGAUUCUAUAGCCAAAAAAUACUUCAACCAUCAUGGCUCUCAAGCCCCCGAGUCGAAUGUUCACCAUAAUUUAAAGGGACUUGUCAUUAUGGUACAUGCUCAUCCCUAGUUGCAUAAGAUCUCUUUUGCUUUCUAAUUCAAUCACAUACAUGCACUUAGGCAACUGAAUAACACUCGUUAUUACUUUUUUUUUUUUGGUCGGUCGUUACUUUGGACUAACUAUCUUAGGGAAAAACCGAAACGUGGAGUACCCAAAAUGCCCCUCGUGAUGCGUAGGGGAUGCGUGGAGCGUACACCUCAAAGGUGAAGGAGAAAAAAACCAAUGGAACGACCCACGUCGCAUGCAAGCCAGAGCGACGUCCCAACUCUCCCCCUGAAAUCCCUCUCUCUGUCUCUCGAAACACCUUGCUUACAAUGAAGAAGAAGAAGAAGAAGAAGACAAGCACCGUAUAGCGGAGUGUGAAAAGAAAUUUCAGCAAGUGUAUUCAUCUCCUUCCUUAAGAGCUUAAGAGUGUUAUUAGAGCUGUGCGACUUUGAUAUACAAUAAUGAACGGCGGCGUCGGCGGCGGCGGCGGCGGCGGCAGAGGCGGUAGGGGAGGAGGAGGGGAGGAGCGGCCGAAGAAGAUACUCAAGAAGGGGAUGUGGAGUCGGCAGGAGGACGAGAUGCUGACGAAGUAUGUGAGGAGGAACGGGGGAGGGAACUGGAACGCGGUGCAGAGGCACACCCCGCUGCUACGGUGCGGCAAGAGCUACCGGCUGAGGUGGGCGAACCACCUGAGGAAGGGCGCCUUCUCAUCGGAGAAGGAGAGCCUCGUCGCCCGGCUCCACGCCAAGCAUGGCAACAAGUGAGCCCACAUGGCCUCCCAGGUCAAGGCUCCUCCUCCUCCUCCUCCUCGCAAGCCCUUUCACGGGUGUCGCGAUUCAAGGCACGUUGCGCGAUUUCGCGGCGGAUUUGGUCAGAAUGGUGUUCUUUAGAGUGUAUCGAUCUCAACGAGAACGUGCAUGCAAUCGCUUCUUGUUUAUCAUCUUUCUUGAGGUGGCCUUUCUCUUCUUUCCUUCUUUUCUUCCCCCUCAUCUUUUCUUUAGCCUUGCCAGGUUGAGGAGGCUUUCCUUUUUUAAUUUUAUGCUUUCUAUUGAUUAGGUUUAUAACUAUUUCAUGCCCCCUCCUGUUCUUAACUUGUGUUUGUUUCGGGAAAGAUUGACGAUUUGAAAAAUAUAUAUUUUCAAAUUCAAUUCCUUGUAUUAUUUACAAAAAUUCGACUCAACAAACAAUAUUUCCAUCAUCAAAAGAGUGUAUUUUUCGAUUGCCUAACUUUUCUGAAUCUUCAUUUUCUUUGAUAUAAGUGAUGAUGAGGAACUGGUUCUGGGGUGUCCCCAUUUGCCUUCGAUUUUUCUCGCUAGAUCAGAGAGGCUGUCCUUUUUAAUUUUAUGUUUUCUAUCUAUUCGCUUCAUAACUAUUGACGCCACACCUCUCAAUUCUCAACAUGCCUUUUUGUUUCGAGAAAAAUCGACGAUUUAAAAUAUGUAUUCUUAAUUUGAUUGUUUAUAUCGCUUGCAAUAAUAGACUAAUGAAAAUUAUUUCUACCAUUAAAAGAAAAUGCCUAGACAAAUAUUAUCUUUUCGAUGAUUAAUUUUUAUGAGCUACAUAAAUAAUUAUUUUUUAGAAAAUAUUUUCUAAAUUAUGAUGAGGAAUUGAUUUUUUGAGGUGUCCCCAUUUUCGUUUAGUCUCCUCACUAGCUUCGCCUUAACAAUGCAAGCCAAAACCCUAGCUCUGAAAGAAGAAGAUGAGAAGAAGGGGGAGAGUUUGGGCGGCGAUCUGCCAAGGCAGCUGCUUCCUCCUCAUUCAGUAAGUACUACAUAUAUUGCAUGUUUGAUAUUUCUCUUUCAUUCUCAUUGGAAAUGCGGUAUGAAUCUCUCUCAUUAAGCAAUAGGUGCGGAACCAACUGAGGAGCUGAUGGACGAGAUCGAUAUCGAUGAUGAAUGGUCUAGUCUCCUCGCUAGCUUCGCCUCAACAACGCAAGCCAAAACCCUAGCUCUAAAGGAGGAGGAGGAGAAGAGUGAGAGUUUGGGUGGCGAUAGUGCUGAGACGGCGCUUUCUCAUCAUUAAGUGAGUAUUGCACAUUGCAUGCUUGGUAUUUCUCUUUCAUUCUCAUUGAAAUGUGGUUUGAAUCUCUCUCAUUAAGUAAUAGGUGUGGAGCCAACUGAAGAGCCGAUGGACGAGAUCGAGUGCAUGGCUGACGAAUUGUCUGGUCUCCUCGCUAGCUUCCCUUCAACAAUGCCAUAUCCAAACUGGUGAUGCCAAGGAGUGGCUCCAUGUUGAUGGACAACUACCACCCAUCCGUGGCAUGUAGGGCGGCCGCCAUCGUAGAAAUCCUCUCUCUCGGUGCAUGAGAGCUAUCAGCUCGGACCUAAGAAGCUAUAAUAAAUAAAACAACAUUCUAGUAUACAUAUGCAAGAUCACUUGAUAUAGACCAAUCCUUUUGUAGCUUAUUGGAAAGGACUUUGUUCAGCCCUACUCUACUAGACAAAUUGAGCGUUAAUACUAUUGAAAUUUCUGUAUUAUUAAUGUUGUUAUUCCGGGUCAGCCAAGCUUUCUUGAUUCUAUAAUUCAAGUUUGUGUUGAAGAACUCAUGUUGGCGUCUGGCCAAGAAAUUGAAUAAAAGGAUAUCUAGUGUGUAAACACUUUGUAUGAUGAUUAUCUUGUAAGUUUUAAAGCAAUAACCCCUUUUUUUACUAAGGUAGACUUGCAUACUUAAUUGGGAGGUUCGGUCCAAAUACAGCGAAAUUAUGAAUAAGAUGAGUCGGUCUCGAAUAUAAGAAAACACCGAGCUCAUCUGUUCAAUCUUGCGAUAUACAUCACAAGGGCUUGACUUGAAGGAUGACCUUGCCCAUGUUAGAGCUCGAGAAAACGGACUGCAAGCUCACCAAGAAGCUCUCGACACCAUAAUAGAUCUUGUGCUUGGACCUGAUCCUGCCUUGCCUCAGGUGACCCUCCAUCUGCUGAGCGAAGUCCCCGAACCUCGCCAGGUGCGAUGGCGAGCCCACCAUGAAUCCUUCCAUCCUCACGCCCUUCCCCACCAUGUUCAGGAGGUUCCUGACCCCUUCCCUCUCUGUCCACACCUGCUUGCAUUGGGUUCAAACGAAGGCUGAUUAACAAGGAUUUUAGAUAAACGAUCGGCCAUGAAUUAUUGAUGAAUUUUUAAAUGGUUUUUUGGUUUCAAGAAAUCUCUUCUAGAGAGUGGAAAAGGCUCCGCAGAUGAUUGGACCGACACAGCUCUUUCCCACUCAGCAGACAAAUAGCUGCACCUAACCCCAUCAUGGACAGUUAAACCAUUGCUAUUAUCAUGUCGGUGAGCUGCUUUACUGGUUCCUCUCUCACGUUCUAGCUUCAACAAAGAAUCACCGGAAGUCUGAGUGUAUUCCGGUCCCCAGAAUCAAGUUAUCCGUGUUUUGACAGCCGAGAUGUGGCUAGAUGGCUCAUCGAUCGGCUCGUUUACAUCAAAUUUAAACAUGGAUGCGGGGUUAUAGUUUUGUAGAUUCUGACUUGUUCUUAGGGAUGCGACGCUGCUGAAUGAUGAGACAUAG